UUAUAUUGUAGUCUCCCAAACGCUUAGUACAGUAUUCUGCACACAGUAAGUCCUCAAUUCAUUCGAUAGUAUUUACUGAGCACUUACUAUGUGCAGAGCAGUGUACUGAGCACUUGGAAUGUACAGUAAAUACAAUUGACUGACUGAUACUGUGGUGAGCCCCACACAGAAACAAACUGGAAGGGAAAGGUGUAUCCCAUGGCAACUUCGGGUGAGAAUCUAAUUUGUUUACUUCUCUCAGCAGUUUCACAAUGUAGCCAGCCCCUCUGAUUCAGCUUUUGUUUUGUGUUUUUCCUGAAUUAGAAAGCCCAGCCACCAGCGGCUGUGAUGCCCACCUAGAAGGUUCCACCCCUCGAAGAUUUUUCCCUUUUUUUUCCUUCAAGUAAAUGAACCUCUCCCUUAUAAACUCAAUUUCACUGCAGGAGCGACCAAUUAACUUGAUUUAGAAAGCGAAACCAAGGAGAGACGUGAGAGUCACACCAGAGAGAGACUAAGUGGAAAGGUAGAAGCGAUCCGGACCGACAUCCUGUACUUACAGGGAGCUCCGGUAUGAAGGGCCAAGGCGAAGGCUCUGGAGGAUCCUUGAUUCCAUCAGUUUCACUCAUGGCUAUGAGGAGUAUAUAAAAGGACUGGAGAAAAAGCAAAGAAAAAGUGUUCAAGAAAUUAAAGAAAAACAGCCAUGUGUGUCCCAGCAGCUACUUCGCUCCUGUUAACCUGUGAACUACCUGUAGGUUUGGGAUGUGUCUCUUACAUCCCAUAGAUCUCUCAUGUGCUUAGCGCUUGCUCACUGUAGAUAUUUCAUUAAAUACCUAUUGAUUGAUAUGUUU
Molecule: long non-coding RNA, 827 nt
Filed under: Ornithorhynchus anatinus (platypus)
Lineage: Eukaryota; Metazoa; Chordata; Mammalia; Monotremata; Ornithorhynchidae
Description: lncRNA (ENSOANG00000047674.1)
Source: RNAcentral